UCGGGGUACUCGAGCGGCGAACGGGUGAGUAACACGUGAGUAAUCUGCCCCUAGCUCUGGGAUAGCUCCGGGAAACCGGGAUUAAUACUGGAUACGACCACCUUAGACAUCUUUUGUGGUGGAAAGAAUUUCGGCUAGGGAUGAGCUCGCGGCCUAUCAGCUUGUUGGUGGGGUAACGGCCUACCAAGGCGACGACGGGUAGCCGGCCUGAGAGGGCGACCGGCCACACUGGGACUGAGACACGGCCCAGACUCCUACGGGAGGCAGCAGUGGGGAAUAUUGCGCAAUGGGCGAAAGCCUGACGCAGCGACGCCGCGUGGGGGAUGAAGGCCUUCGGGUUGUAAACCCCUUUCAGCAGGGACGAAGCGAAAGUGACGGUACCUGCAGAAGAAGCGCCGGCUAACUACGUGCCGGCAGCCGCGGUAACACGUAGGGCGCAAGCGUUGUCCGGAAUUAUUGGGCGUAAAGAGCUCGUAGGCGGUCUGUUGCGUCCGCUGUGAAAACUCGGGGCUUAACCCCGAGCCUGCAGUGGAUACGGGCAGACUAGAGGUAGGUAGGGGAGAAUGGAAUUCUCGGUGUAGCA
This 583-nucleotide ribosomal RNA is filed under the name uncultured Verrucomicrobiota bacterium. RNAcentral's name for it is "bacterial SSU rRNA". It matches the Rfam family "Bacterial small subunit ribosomal RNA", at positions 82 to 680 of the family's 1533-position model. The record is from RNAcentral. Lineage: Bacteria; Pseudomonadati; Verrucomicrobiota.